AACGAACGCUGGCGGCAUGCCUAACACAUGCAAGUCGAACGAUCCCUUCGGGGAUAGUGGCGCACGGGUGCGUAACGCGUGGGAACCUGCCCUUAGGUUCGGAAUAACUCAGAGAAAUUUGAGCUAAUACCGGAUAAUGUCUUCGGACCAAAGAUUUAUCGCCUUUGGAUGGGCUCGCGUUGGAUUAGCUAGUUGGUGGGGUAAAGGCCUACCAAGGCGACGAUCCAUAGCUGGUCUGAGAGGAUGAUCAGCCACACUGGGACUGAGACACGGCCCAGACUCCUACGGGAGGCAGCAGUGGGGAAUAUUGGACAAUGGGCGAAAGCCUGAUCCAGCAAUGCCGCGUGAGUGAUGAAGGCCUUAGGGUUGUAAAGCUCUUUUACCCGGGAUGAUAAUGACAGUACCGGGAGAAUAAGCCCCGGCUAACUCCGUG
RNAcentral lists this ribosomal RNA (433 nucleotides) under uncultured bacterium. RNAcentral's name for it is "partial 16S ribosomal RNA". It matches the Rfam family "Bacterial small subunit ribosomal RNA", at positions 29 to 507 of the family's 1533-position model. The record is from RNAcentral.